CGGACGGGUGAGUAAUGUCUGGGAAACUGCCUGAUGGAGGGGGAUAACUACUGGAAACGGUAGCUAUACCGCAUAACGUCGCAAGACCAAAGAGGGGGACCUUCGGGCCUCUUGCCAUCAGAUGUGCCCAGAUGGGAUUAGCUAGUAGGUGGGGUAACGGCUCACCUAGGCGACGAUCCCUAGCUGGUCUGAGAGGAUGACCAGCCACACUGGAACUGAGACACGGUCCAG
RNAcentral lists this ribosomal RNA (231 nucleotides) under uncultured Enterobacterales bacterium. Its description in RNAcentral is "partial 16S ribosomal RNA". It matches the Rfam family "Bacterial small subunit ribosomal RNA", at positions 99 to 334 of the family's 1533-position model. Lineage: Bacteria; Pseudomonadati; Pseudomonadota; Gammaproteobacteria; Enterobacterales. The record is from RNAcentral.